RNAcentral lists this ribosomal RNA (430 nucleotides) under Pseudomonadota bacterium. Its description in RNAcentral is "Proteobacteria bacterium partial 16S ribosomal RNA". It matches the Rfam family "Bacterial small subunit ribosomal RNA", at positions 355 to 776 of the family's 1533-position model. The record is from RNAcentral. Lineage: Bacteria; Pseudomonadati; Pseudomonadota.
UGGGGAAUAUUGGACAAUGGGGGGAACCCUGAUCCAGCCAUGCCGCGUGUGUGAAGAAGGCCUUAUGGUUGUAAAGCACUCUAAGCGAGGAGGAGGGUACUGGUAUUAAUACUACCAGCUACUGGACGGUACUCGCAGAAUAAGCACCGGCUAACUCUGUGCCAGCAGCCGCGGUAAUACAGAGGGUGCAAGCGUUAAUCGGAAUUACUGGGCGUAAAGCGCGCGUAGGUGGUUCGUUAAGUUGAAUGGGAAAGCCCCGGGCUCAACCUGGGAACGGAAUCCAAAACUGGCGAGCUGGAGUAGGGCAGAGGGUGGUGGAAUUUCCUGUGUAGCGGUGAAAUGCGUAGAUAUAGGAAGGAACGCCAGUGGGGAAGGCGACCGCCUGGGCUCAUACUGACACUGAGGUGCGAAAGCGUGGGGAGCAAACAGG